RNAcentral lists this long non-coding RNA (10149 nucleotides) under Nicotiana benthamiana. RNAcentral describes it as "long non-coding RNA (NBEN_LNC022101)". The record is from RNAcentral. Lineage: Eukaryota; Viridiplantae; Streptophyta; Magnoliopsida; Solanales; Solanaceae.
AAACAAUUAAACUCCAGUCCAAAUCUCACACUAAGACAAUGGAGCAUCUAACAGAGUAAUAUGUGUUUUAUUGACGGGUAUACAAACCCCCUUCCCCCAAAAGAAAUAACUAAGACGAACUAGGCAAGUCUGUAGUGAAAGCCUCCACGAACAAUGCGGUAUAUCACCUUAGCAAUAGGAUCCACUCGAACAAACUCGUCAGCCACUAGCUCUAUCUCCCGCAAUGGUAUCUGCAUAGAGAUGCAAUUAAGGAGGGAGUUGUACGUAAAUAUAACCCAGUAAGAUCUUCGACCCUCCACUUUAAAUACCUCUGGAACAAAUGUUAGAAAAUACAAACACACUACAACACGAAUGAUAUAGUAAAUGUGUAAUCAUACUAUAACUCAAUAAAUGUGUAUCAAUAGAGUUAUUAAGAACUAACCAAUAAGAAUACUCACUAAGGACUUAUCAUAAUUGCAGUGAAAGAAGUUUACCAACACACCAUUAGUCCACAAUGGCACCAUAAUGCGUCAAAUAUGUAAUAGAGCAUACACAAUGCUCGGGUGAUGCACAAAGGCAUACACAAUGCUCCAACAUCAUGGUGCACAAUCGCAUCAAACUCAACAUCAUGACGUACAGUUGUAUCAAAUUCAAUAUUACGGCGUACAGGGCGCACAGCCGUAUCAAACUCAACACCAUGGCUUACAGGCGAAUCAAACUAUAAAACUCAACCUCAUGGCGCAUAGUCGUAUCACAUUAUCAAACAACUUAUGAAAUAAUUUUUUUUUCAUAAAAUAAUAUAUUUGCAGCUAGUCUAAGACCACAGACUCUACCAAGCGCAUGCUUGUCCGAACACAUGGACCAGUAGAGAAAACACACUUUUAAAAUGGGUUUUAGAAAGCAAGUAUCAAAGCUGAAAGUCUCACUUACCUCGAUAACGGGAAGUUCCCUAACUUUGCAAAGCCUAGAAAACCAACCCAAUGACCUCCAAUGUCCUCAAUCUAUUGAAAAUAUUAAUUAAAGAUAUCUAUUAGGCUAGUCGGAGCCAAAUAUAAAUAUUUCUAUUUUCAAGCUUAGGGUUGAAUCCUAACAUUUUAUCUACUAAGUGCCAUACUAAUAAUAUCAAAAUACUUGUCAGUAUCACAAUCCAAAUUAAGAUCUAAUUACAACUCUUCGGAAGUAAUACCCAAAUCAAAGAAAAAGUCAAUGUCUGCCCAACUUAAGAAUUAAUAGCGAACCAGUGCCUUAGUUUUAAUACCAAAGUCCGAAUAUGUUCAAGUGAACAAUCUGAAUGAAUUUUCAUUUUGAUUUCAAAAUCCUACAUUUACUUAUCUUUUUUAUUUUCUUCCUCAAGAUCCUUAGACUUUCUCGUAUUUACCAAUUGCUCAACGACCUAUUGAGGGGUCAUUUGAGGAGCUACAACAUUAAGCUGAACUUGUGUUUGCGCUUAUGAAGUAGUCUGGGGAGCUGGAAAUCCACCCUGAGUAGGCGCUUAUGCCUCUAACAUAUUUAACAACCUCACUUUUGCAUCUACAGGUAAGGUAACAAUAGGCACAUUAAUUGGGACCGGUGAUGGAGCAUAUUGAACCACCUGUACUUGCACUCGAUCUGACAUAGUAGCUUGGAAUUGACCCAUGUUCACAACCUCAGGCCUACUGGUCUGAGCUCUAGUAUGGUGAGCUCCAACUUGACCACCACUAAUUAUAGAAGUGAUACUCAAAUCAGAGAAAAAGUCAAUGUCUUCCUAACUUAAGAAUUAGUAGUGAAACACUGCCCCUAGUUUUAAUAUCAAAGUCCAAAUAUGUUCAAGUGCACAAUCUGAAUGAAUUUUCAUUUUGAUUUCCAAAUCCUACAUUUACUUGUCUUUUUUAUUUUCUUCCUCAAGAUCAUUUGCAUAUAAUUAUUAUUCUUUCAAUCAUUAUCAUAUAGUAUAUGAAGAUAUAAGUACCAAAUUCUUCACUUAAAUUCACUAAUAUAUAAGUACUUACUACAUAUACUUGGGUCAUAGAGUUCAUCUUUUGUAGUAAAAUAUAACGCAAUUAAUUUUUAUGUGCACAGACCAAUUAUUCCACGAGCAAUAUUUUGAGAAUACUCUCUUAAAGAGUUUUGUCAUCACUAAAUGGUGAGGUUUCCUUUAUUAUUAAAUUUCAUGUUAAUUUCCAGUGCAUCAAAAAUGCCAUAGUGUCUGCCACUCUUGUUCCCCAAUUCUAUUCUGAUCACUACUAUAAUAAAAUUACCAAUAGUAUAGUUUCUUACUUUGGGGAACAAUUAAUGGGUGGGCUAAAUAUUGUACCUCAACACCAAUGUUGAAUUGCAAGAAUUGUCCACUCCCAAUUUUUAGUACAGCCAUCGUCCUCUCCACCACACUCCUCUGUAUCCUUUUUUUUUCUAUCUAAUUACAGUGUUAUUACUCUGCUCCUCUAGAUAUCUUAGAAUUAACAAACCCCCUUUUACUUAGUGUUUUCAUGCGUGACUCCAAACCUGGCAGCUAGAAGAAUGGGCUUGGCCUAGACUCUACUAUUUUGUGAAAAUUAUUUAUAAGGUUGUAUAGUAUUUUGCCCAACAACUACUAACUAAAUAAAAAAAAUUUCCUCCUCUUUCAAAUAAUUAACUAAUAUAUAAAUAAUUUUGGCCAAUUACAUUCUUCCCCACUUAAAGAAGUGAUCAUCCUCAAACGAGUUAGAAAGUGUAUCUGAUAUGUCAAACAAUUGAGGGUACUUGCUUCGCAUAUCUGCUUCAGACUCCCACGUAGCUUUCUCUGUUGGAUGGUUACGCCAUAAUACUUUCACCGAAGAAAACAUUUUCGACCAUAAUUGCCGCAGUUGCCUAUCAGGAAUAGUUAUCGGACCUUCCUCAUAAGUUAAGUUUUCAUCAAGCUCCACAGCAUCUGGCUGAAUCUUGUGACUAUCAUCAUGAAAAUAUCGUCUAAACAUAGACACAUGAAAUACAGGAUGAACCGCAAACAACCUUGGGGCUAAGGUAAGUUUAUAUGCCACUGAUCCAAUUCGAUCUAAAAUCUCAUACGGACCAAUAUACCUUGGACUUAGCUUGCCUUUGCGCCCAAAUCUCACGACUCCUUUCAUAGGGGACACCUUCAAAAAGACUUUUUCUCCUUUCAUGAACUCCAAAUCACGAACUCUCUUAUCUGCAUAGGAUUUUUGUCUACUUUGAGUUGUCUGAUGUCGUUCUCGUAUCAAUGCAACUUUCUCCAAAAACUACUGAAACAAAUUCGAACCCAAUAGUUAUGUUUCACGAGGUUCAACCAUCCUACUGGUGAACGACACUUACAACCAUAUAGAGCUUCAAACGGCGCCAUUUGUAUACUCGAUUGAUAGUUUUAUUAUAAGCAAAACCUGCUAAUGGCAACUGAUCGUCCCAAUGACCACCAUUAUCAAUUGCACAAGCUCUAAGCAUGUCCUCCAAGAUUUGAAUAACCUCAUUCGGACUAUCCGUCCAUUUGUGAUGGAAAGCAGUGAUCAACUCAAUCUGAGAACCCAAUGACGUCUGAAAAGACUUUCAAAAUAGCAAUAAAUUGUGCACCCCGAUCUGAUAGUAUAGAAAUAGGCACACUAUGAAGCCAAACUAUCUAACGGAGGUAUAUAUCUGCUAGCUGUUCUGCAGUAUGAGUAAGCCGAACUGGUAUGAAGUGUGCGGACUUUAUAAGUUUUUCCACGAUCACCCAUACUGAAUCAUGUUUCUCAAAAGCAAGUGGCAACCCAACUACAAAAUCUAUAUGCUUUCCCACUUCCACUCAUGGAUAAUCAAUUUCUGCAUCACACCGCCUAAUUUUUGGUGCUCAUACUUUACUUGCUGAAAAUUUAAGCAACUAGUCACAUAUUUCAGAAUAUCAUAAUUCAUACCUCUCCACCAGUACAACUCACACAAGUCUUGAUACAUUUUAGUAGCACCUGGAUAGAUAGAGUAACGAGAGCUAUGAGCCUCUUCAAGAAUCAACUGCUUUACAUCAUCCACCAUAGGGAUAUAUAAUCUACCAUGUCAUCGUAGCAUACCUUCAUUAUCAAUUGAAAAAAUGACUUAAUACCUCCAUUCUGCACUCGAUCUCAAUGUCUAAUUAGAUGAGGAUCCUCAAACUGAUGAGCCUUGACCUAUCCAACCAAGGACGAUUGUGCUACCAAACCCGCAAGUAACCUGUCCAAUAAAGUAUGGUCAAUAAGAACUCCCUAAUUAGCUAAUGCCUAAAUAUCUAUAACCAUAGGUUGUUCUUCAAUAGUGAAUUGAGCCAAACUAGCCAUAGACUUUCUACUCAAUGUGUCUGCCACCAUAUUCGCCUUCCCAGGAUGAUACAAAAUAGUAACAUCAUAAUCUUUAAGUAGUUCUAACUAAUGUCUCUACCUCAGAUUUAGAUAUCUUUGGUUGAAUAUAUAUUGUAGACUCUUUUGAUCAGUAUAGAUUAAACACGGCUCAUCAUAAAGAGAUCUCAAGUGCAAAUAUGAUCGCAACCAAUUGCAAGUCAUGAGGUGGAUAAUUUUUUUCAUGGUUCUUUAGUUGUCGAAAAGAAUAAGCUACUACCUUGCCAUUUUGCAUUAGCACGCAACCCAAACCGACUCGAGACACAUCAUAAUAAAUUGUAAAACCCCCUACCCUUGUAGGUAGUGACAAAAUUGGAGCUGUAAUCAACACAGUCUUCAAUUUCUGAAAACUUUCUUCACAUUCAUAUGGCCACUGAAAUGCAACACUUUCUGAAUCAAUUGUGUAAAUGGAGUGGCUAUCUUUGAGAAACCCUCAACAAACCUUCUAUGAUAUUCGGCUAGGCCUAAAAAGUUACGUAUCUCUAUAGGAGUAGUAGAUCAAGGCGAAUCUCAAACUACCUUUAUCUUCUUUGGAUCAACUUGAAUCCUAUCUCGUGACACCAAAUGUCCCAAAAAGGAAAAUGUAUCGAACAUAAAUUCACACUUUGAGAACUUGGCAUAAAUCUUUUGCUCUCUAAGUGUCUGUAGCAUAACUCUCAGGUGUUGUUCAUGUUCUGCCUCGCCUUGAGAGUAGACUAAAAUAUCAUCAAUACAUACAAUCACAAAAUGAUCUAAGAAUGGCUUGGAUACCCUAUUCAUAUGGUCCAUAAACGCUGCGGGCUUUAGUAAGCCCGAAAGAGAUCACCAAAAAUUAAAAAUGCUCGUACCUGGUCCGAAACGCUAUCUUGGAUAUAUCCUCGGUCUUAAUUCUCAACUGAUGGUAACCUGAUCUCAAGUUAAUCUUUGAAAAGAAAGUUGCACCCUGUAGUUGGUCAAAUAGAUCAUCAAUACAUGGCAACAUAUAUUUAUUCUUGAUCGUCACCUUAUUCAGCUGCCUGCAAUCAAUACACAUUCUCAUCGUGCCAUCUUUCUUUUAAACAAAUAAUACAGGUGCACCCAAGGAGACACACUAAGUCUAAUAAAUCCCUUAUCAAGUAGAUUUUAAAGUUGAGCCUUUAAUUCUCUCAACUCCGCUGGAGCUGUACGCUAUGGAAGAAUAGACAUAGGUUGAUUUCCUGGAACCAAAUAAAUACCGAACUAAAUUUCAUUUGUUGGAGGCAGCCCGGGUAAAUCUUCUGGAGGCACAUCAGCAAAUUCUCGAACCACUAGGACACUAUAAAUAGUAACAUCCUCUAAUAAUGUAUCAUGAACGGUUGCAAUAAAACCCACUCAUUAUUAACCGUUCGACGUGCUUUUAUAUAGGAUAUUAUCUUUCCCUAAGUUAGAGGAGUUAUGCCUUUCCACAUUAAACAUGGUUCUCCAGGAAAAUCAAAACGUAUAAACUUGGAAUGACAAUUAAGUGAGGCAUAACAUGACGCUAACCAAUCCAUACCCAUGAUUACAUCAAAGUCAGACAUAGGCAAUGCUAGUAGAUCAACUAUGGUGUCCCUUCCCAGAAUAAGUAUCACACAGUCUCUAUAGACUCUAUCCACAAUAUAGUCUCCCAAGUAUAAGGCACAUUAAGAGACUCAACUCGUCGCUCUAAGUAUAUGGAAAAGGAUGGAGAUACAUAUGAAUACAUAUAACCAGGAUUAAUAAGAGCGUAAGCUCCAUAAGAGACGAUAAUGAUAAUACUUGUGAUGGCUGUAUUAGAUGCCUCGACAUCCUGUUUGGUCAUAGCAAAGAAUCUCUGUGGUCCACCUGCUCCCAGAGUAGUUUGUGUACCCUAUCGAUCCUAUCCAUGAGGCACCUACGGAGCUCCUCUAGCUGGCUGAGUCUAAGUGUGUGUACCAAUAAACAUUCUCUGCAGCUGUGGAGUAGCAUGGCUAGUAGCAAAAUAUCCUCUAGGACAAUGCUUUGCAAUAUGUCUUUUUUGGCCACAAGUAAAACAAACCCCAUCUAUUGCAAAAGAACGACCGCUUUGAUUUCUACCACAACUCGAACACCUCGGGUGUUGACCUGAUUGAUGUGAGCCAUUAUCCUUCCUCUGUAUCUGCUGCUGCCCUUGCUUAGCUAGGUAAGCACUUCUAGAAGACUGCACUACUGACUCUAACUGAGUAGGUCUGGACUGCCUAUGAUUAAAACCACCCAUGCCCCAGAUGGAGCUCCUCUAAACCGGCCUACGCUACGAGCCCUUUUGCUUUCUCCUUCGGUUAAGACUCAUAGCGGAGAGCAGUAUCCACUACCUCUUCGUACGAACCACCUCGAAUAUCCCUAAUCACAGGACCCCGACAACAAUUCUCAAGCCCAUCUACGAACCUCCUCACCUUCUCAUGCUCAUCUGUAAAUAGAAAUGGUGCAUAACUAGCUAAGUCAGUAAACUUAAUAUCAUACUCUAUAACCAUCAUAAUUCCCUAGUGCAACUGCUCGAACUGACGUCUCAUGUCAUCUCGCUUGCUCAGUUAAACGAACUUAUCCAUAAACAUAGCUGAAUACUAUGACCAUGUAACGAUGGAAACCUUGCUCGUGUACCUCUCUGAACUGAAUUCCACCAUGACUCUGCAGAUCCUAUGAAUAGAAAAGUGGCUAAUUCCACUCCUCAAGUCUCAUUCAUCCCUAAGUAGAUAGUAUCUUCUUGCAACGCUGAAUGAACUUCUGGGCUCAAUAGAAGCCAUGUAGCAUUGACACCUGGUGGAUUAAGGUCCAUAAAACUCUUAAGAUCCUUAGACUGCCCCAUAUUCACCAAUGGAUGAACGACCUGCUGAGGGGCCAUCGGAGGAGAUGCAACAUUCAACUAAACUUGUGCUUGCACCUACGAGGUAGUCCGGGGAGCUAGAAGUCCACCCUGAGUAGGCACUAAUGCCUCUAACACAUUUAACAACAUUACCGCUUCAUCUGUAAGUAAGGUAAUAGUAGGCUCAUCAAUUAGGACUGGUGGUGGAGCAUAAUGAACCACUUGUUCUUGCACUCGAUCUGGCAUUAUAGCUUGGGAUUAACCCGUGUUCACAACCUCAGGCUGAGGAGCGGCAUGUCUACUAGUCUGAGCUCUAGUAUGAUGAGCUCCAACUUGACUACCGCUAAUUACAAAAGUAAUACUAAAAUAAGAGAAGAAGUCAAUAUCUGCCUAACUUAAGAAUUAGUAGUGAAAUAGUGCCUUAGUUUUAAUACCAAAGUCCAAAUAUGUUCAAGUGCACAAUCUGAAUGAAUUUUCAUUUUGAUUUCCAAAUCCUACAUUUACUUGUCUUUUUUAUUUUCUUCCUCAAGAUCAUUUGCAUAUAAUUAUUAUUCUUUCAAUCAUUAUCAUAUAGUAUAUGAAGAUAUAAGUACCAAAUUCUUCACUUAAAUUCACUAAUAUAUAAGUACUUACUACAUAUACUUGGGAUCUUCUUUAUUUUCUUCCUCAACAUCAUUUUCAUGUAAUUAUUAUUCUUUCAAUCAUUAUUAUAUAGUAAAUAUAAAUAUAUAAGUACCAAAUUCUUCAUUUAAAUUCAGUAAUGUACAGGUACGGACUAUAUAUACUUGGGUCAUAGAUUUCAUCUUUUAUAAUAAAAUAUAACGCAAUUAAUUUUUAUGUGCAUAGACCAAUUAUUUCAUGAGCAAUGUUUUGAGAAUACUCUCUUAAAGAGUUUUGUCAUUACUUAAGGGUGAAGUUUCCUUUAUUAUUAAAUUUCAUAUCUAUUUCCAACGCAUCAAAAAUUCCAUAUCUAUAUAAAUUACACAUUUUCCUAACUAUUAAAUACCUUUCAAAACUCAAACUACAGAGAAAAAAGGGAGGGAAUAUAGCGAUUAUUACGUCAUAGGAAUCAUUUUAAUGUUAUCGCUACUUGAUUUCGUGCCCCGGAUGAUAAUCUUGUUGGAAACCAUUGUGAAAAGCUCUAAUGGAAGGUUAGGGGUAUUAUUUGGUCGAUCUAUAUGGAAUUAUGAAGAAAGAGACGACAUAGGAAGAUAAAUAUCCAUUUUGGUUGAAAAGUCAAAAAGGUGCUACUUGGCACCCUAGCAUUGGUUCAUCUUCCAAUGCUUAUAACUUUUUAUCCGGGUGUCGUAUGAGCGAACGCCUAAGAGAGUUAGAAACUAGAUUCCAAGAUCAUUAAAUUAAUAUAUAAUAUGUCCCAAAAAGACCUCAUAUAAUACACGAAAUAUAUUGCUCAAAGAGCUUUAGCGGCAUACCUUCUUGCCAACUAUGCAGUCUGUGCAGUCUUGUGAAACUGCAAAUAUCCAUCUACUCCAAUAUCGUAUUGACAAACCGUUUAACGCAUAAGAAAUUAGUCUCGUAGAUCUUCAAUUUAUAUAUGGAUCAUCCCAUAAUUCCAAGUAUAUUAUGAGAAAAGCUUCACUACGCCUAAUUUUUAGCACAUUUAUAAAUGCAACUUGUAAUGACAUUUGCCAACUUUUGUUCCACAACUCGCUUAACUCCAAAUUGUAACACACGACUAUCAUAAACCUUAAAUAAUUAUAACAUAGCAUCCUUAUCACGUUAAGGACCCUACUCUCACCCCCAAAGUUCAUGUUAUAACAUUCCCAACUUAUCGACUUUCGACGAAACUUAUUUCCUUCAAUUUGCUUAGCUUCUAAGCCUUUCCAACCAUCUUGUUACUUGUUAUUCAUGAACUUAAAUAUUUGUAACCUCUAAGUUAACAUGAUUACGUUACUAUAUUUGCUUCCAAUAGAAUCUUAUUUCUGAGCUUACAUCAAUUGACUUACGACGUACUCUCACAUACGAAAACAUGGGGUAUAACAUAAAAUCUAGACACAACCUAUUUGAAAGUAAUCAUCUUUAUUGUUUGAAAAAUGGGGUGUAACCGUACCUGAGCACCAAUGUUGAAUUGCAAGAAUUGUCCACUCCAAACUUUUAGUACAAAUGUUGUCCUCUUCACCACACUCCCCUGUACCCUUUUUUUUUUAUCUAAUUGAAGUGCCAUCACUCUGCUCCUCUAGGUAUCUUUGAACUAACAAACCCCCUUUCACAUGUGUUUUCAAGCGUGACUCCAAACCUGGUUGCUAGAAGACUGGGCUUGGCCUAGACUCUUUAUUAUUUUGUGAAAAUUAUUUAUAAGGUUGUAUAGUGUGUGGCCCAAUAACUACUAACUAAAUAAAUUUUUUUUCCUCUUGUUUCAAAUAAUUAAUUAAUAUAUAAAUAAUUUUGGUCUAUUACAACUAUAUUCCCAAAAAAUCAAAAACAAAAGAAGAUUUGAGCAAGAAAAAAAAACAAGCACAAAAUGAAAAUGGUCUACCAAAAUGUUAACUGUAUUAUUAAGCUAAAUGCUUUAACUUAAUAUGCUUGAAACCUACAUGCAAGCAAAACACGACUUGAAACAGAAAAACAAGGAAGAAAAAGAAAAAAUCAGAAGGAGACGAAGAUGGAAGAAAACAAAGAAAGGAGAAAAAAUGAACGGAGAUACCUAAAUAGGUAGGCAGACGGUUGGCUUGAACGGACCUCCAACACUUUUCGAAUUGAACCGACAUCGAUAUUAAUCGCAUUUUCUUGUCGAGAACAAAUGAUCAAUACAAGUUUCAGGACAAAUUAUUCUUGGAAACUUGAAGAAUUGCAUGAUUUUUCUUUCUUUUUUUUGGAAUUAACACUAGUCAGAUUUGGUGGGGAUUUUGGGAGAUGUAGCGAUGGAUUAGGAAUUGAGGGACGGUGGUGAUUGUGUGGUAGGGAUUUUGGGUCGAUUGGGCCACGCCACCGACCGGUGGAGGCUUAGGAAUUUUAGGGCGGUGGGUCUUCUAGGGUUUAGAUUUGAGAGAGAUGAAAGAGAAGCUGAACAUGGUCCUAGAUUGUUCUGAGAGUAUUCAGACAAUUUUAAACCAAAUGGGGAAAGGC